Molecule: RNA transcript, 1857 nt
Organism: Zea mays
Lineage: Eukaryota; Viridiplantae; Streptophyta; Magnoliopsida; Poales; Poaceae
Gene name: Transducin/WD40 repeat-like superfamily protein
Exons: 11
Source: RefSeq, marked validated
UGGUCUUAUUUGCACCCUUCCUCUCCAUCUAGACACUGAAACGGCCGUUGAAAAAAAAGGAAAUACUUGGGAAAAGCCCUCCCCUUCUCUUCUCUCGCCUUCACCACGCGCCGCCCGAUCCGCCACCGCCCGCCGCAGCCAGCAAGCCAAGGCCAGAUGGCGGCCUCACUCGUGUCCUCGUUUACUGUGCCCCUCGUCUCCGCCGUCCUCGGUGCCGCCAUCGCCCUCGUCUUCCUCGCCGGCUACCUCCGCCGCAAGCGCGCCGCCAUCGCCCACAUCCCUCCCACCGAAACCGCCGCCGCCCCGGACCAGCCUAAGCAUGUCCGCCCCUCCAACCAGGCCCAGUACAAGAAGGGCCAUCUCCGCCCGCAUCACCACGCGGCCGACAAGGACGCGGCCAAGAAGCACCACCAUCUUGAUGUCAACACCUUGAGGGGGCAUACUGACUCCGUCACUGCACUUGCCUUCUCCAAUGACGCCUGCAACCUAGUUACCGUAUGUGCUGAUGGAGCCAUCAGGGUAUUCAGGAUCGAUGAUACCUCUAGCAAGAGCUUCAAGAUUCUUAGGAUAAACUUGCCAGCUGGAGCGCACCCUACGGCUGUUACUUUCUCAGAGGGGUCAUCAUCUGUUGUUGUGGCGGCGCAGGCGCUUCUGGGAUCAUCUCUUUAUAUGUAUGCGGAUGUUAGCGCUCCUCCAACCGCGGAAAACAAACUGCAGGGAAAGCUUUCUCCACCUGAAAUCAAGUGGAGUCACCCCAAGAUACAUGGCAAGGAGUCUGUGCUCAACCUUGCAGCGGCCCGUGCAACUCAUGGGUCUGGUGAUGGGAGCACUAUUAUCAUUUCAUGCUCAGAAGCAACUGAUAUCAAAGUUUGGCAUGGGAAGAGUGGGAAGGAGUUUGGUACAGUUGACACCAAUCAGUUAAAAAAUAAUAUGGCUGACAUAUCCCCAAAUGGUCGCUUCAUAGCUGCUGCGGCUUUUACUGCUGAUGUCAAGGUGUGGGAGAUAGUUUACUCGAAGGAUGGUUCAGUGAAGGAGGUUAAUAAAGUUAUGCAACUCAAGGGUCAUAAGAGUGCUGUUACUUGCUUGUGCUUUGCUCCCAAUUCUGAGCAAAUUAUUACUGCAUCCAAAGAUGGUUCCAUUCGAGUAUGGAACAUUAAUGUAAGAUACCACCUUGAUGAGGAUCCAAAAACCUUGAGAGUUAUGCCAAUUCCACUUCAUGACUCUAAAGGUUCUGUUUGCCAGUAUGAUCACAUGACAGUCUCUCCUGAUGGUAAAAUUCUGGCUGUAACAAGUGGAUCAACGUUGCAAUGGUUACUUGUGGAAACUGGUGCAGUUUUGGAUACAGCUGACAAAGCACAUGAAGGUGAUAUAACUGGCAUUGCUUGGGCUCCACGGACAAUUCCCAAUGGUGGCGUGCAUGUUUUUAUUUUGGCGACUGCUGGUGUGGACAAAAAGGUGAAACUUUGGACAGCUCCAGAUGUUGGUUCAACAUGAGUGGUCGAGGAUUGAAUCUGCAUAAGACAGCUUUGCCAAGGGCACAGAAUUGAAGUUUUGUUGCGUAGAGUUUGAGAGGAGGAAGGGAAGGGAGGCCUGGCUGUUACUGAUGAGACCCCAAUGCAUCACGCAGGCGGCAGCCUUGGGGCUGUAGUUUCGCUACCUUUUAUACAAUAAACUGAAUGUUGUCUGCAUUUGUAUUUUUUUUUCUUUCCUUCCUUUUUACUGUUGGAAUGAUCUGGCUGUGUGAUCAACAUAAUUUAAGCUGCUGCUGCUUGGAAUAGACGUCAUUUUAUUUGUCAAGCAAAUGUGCUGCUUUGCGCAUUGUUUGACAUUAUAUUGUUUGAUAAAGUGUGCUAAGUA